UUGAGGUUAAGCUACUAAGAGCACACGGAGGAUGCCUAGGCGCUAGGAGUCGAUGAAGGACGUGGCGAACAACGAAACUGCCUCGGGGAGCUGUAAGCAAGCUUUGAUCCGGGGGUGUCCGAAUGGGGAAACCCGGCUGUGGUAAUACGCAGUCACUCCCACCUGAAUACAUAGGGUGGGUAGAGACAGACCAGGGGAACUGAAACAUCUAAGUACCCUGAGGAAGAGAAAACAAUAGUGAUUCCGUCAGUAGCGGCGAGCGAACGCGGAUUAGCCCAAACCAAGGAGCUUGCUCCUUGGGGUUGUGGGACGUCUCACAUGGAGUUACAAAGGAAUAUAUUAAGCGAAGAGGUCUGGAAAGGCCCGGCAUAGAAGGUAAAAGCCCUGUAGCUGAAAAUGUAUUCCCUCCGAGACGUAUCCCGAGUAGUGCGGGGCACGUGAAACCCCGUAUGAAUCCAGCAGGACCAUCUGCUAAGGCUAAAUACUCCCUAGCGACCGAUAGUGAAACAGUACCGUGAGGGAAAGGUGAAAAGCACCCCGGAAGGGGAGUGAAAUAGAACCUGAAACCGUGUGCUUACAAAAAGUCAGAGCCCUAUCUAUGGGUGAUGGCGUGCCUUUUGUAGAAUGAACCGGCGAGUUACGUUCCCGUGCAAGGUUAAGGUGAGAAGCCGGAGCCGCAGCGAAAGCGAGUCUGAAUAGGGCGACAUAUAGUACGUGGACGUAGACCCGAAACCGAGUGAUCUACCCCUGUCCAGGGUGAAGGUGCGGUAACACGCACUGGAGGCCCGAACCCACGCAUGUUGAAAAAUGCGGGGAUGAGGUGGGGGUAGCGGAGAAAUUCCAAUCGAACUCGGAGAUAGCUGGUUCUCCCCGAAAUAGCUUUAGGGCUAGCCUCGGAAUGAAGAGUCGUGGAGGUAGAGCACUGAUUGGGUGCGGGGCCCGCAAGGGUUACCAAGCUCAGUCAAACUCCGAAUGCCAUGUACUUAUAUCCGGGAGUCAGACAGUGAGUGCUAAGAUCCAUUGUCGAAAGGGAAACAGCCCAGACCAUCAGCUAAGGUCCCCAAGUGUGUGUUGAGUGGAAAAGGAUGUGGAGUUGCACAGACAACCAGGAUGUUGGCUUAGAAGCAGCCACCAUUGAAAGAGUGCGUAAUAGCUCACUGGUCGAGUGACUCUGCGCCGAAAAUGUAACGGGGCUAAACACACCACCGAAGCUAUGGCUAGAUGCUAAUCGCAUCUGGGGUAGGGGAGCGUUGUAUAGAGGUUGAAGGUGUACCGUGAGGAGCGCUGGACACUAUACAAGUGAGAAUGCCGGUAUAAGUAACGAAAAGAUCAGUGAGAAUCUGAUCCGCCGAAAGCCCAAGGUUUCCUGAGGAAGGCUCGUCCUCUCAGGGUAAGUCGGGACCUAACGCGAGGCCGAAAGGCGUAGUGGAUGGACAACAGGUUGAAAUUCCUGUACCACCGUAAUCCGUUAUGAGUAAUGGGGUGACGCAGCAGGGUAGUGACGCGGACUGAUGGAAUAGUCCGUCUAAGCAGUGAGGCUUGUGUGUAGGCAAAUCCGCACACUAAUAGGCUGGGCUGUGAUGGGGAGCGAAAAUUAUAGUAGCGAAGGUCAUGAUCUCACACUGCCAAGAAAAGCCUCUAACCAGGAGAAGGUGCCCGUACCGCAAACCGACACAGGUAGGCGAGAAGAGAAUUCUAAGGCGCGCGGAAGAACUCUCGUUAAGGAACUCGGCAAAAUGACCCCGUAACUUCGGGAGAAGGGGUGCCCCGGUAGUGUGAAUAGCACGAGGGGGCCGCAGUGAAAAGGCCCAAGCGACUGUUUAGCAAAAACACAGGUCUGUGCGAAGCCGUAAGGCGAAGUAUACGGGCUGACGCCUGCCCGGUGCUGGAAGGUUAAGGGGAGUGGUUAGGGGAAACCCGAAGCUAUGAACCGAAGCCCCAGUAAACGGCGGCCGUAACUAUAACGGUCCUAAGGUAGCGAAAUUCCUUGUCAGGUAAAUUCUGACCCGCACGAAUGGCGUAACGAUUUGGGCGCUGUCUCAACGAGAGAUCCGGUGAAAUUUUAAUACCUGUGAAGAUGCAGGUUACCCGCGACAAGACGGAAAGACCCCAUGGAGCUUUACUGCAGCUUGAUAUUGAAUUUGGGUACGAUUUGUACAGGAUAGGUGGGAGCCUGAGAAAUAGGAGCGCAAGCUUCUAUGGAGGCGCCGUUGGGAUACCACCCUGAUCGUAUCUAGGUUCUAACCUAGGACCGUAAACCGGUUCGGGGACAGUGUCAGGUGGGCAGUUUGACUGGGGCGGUCGCCUCCUAAAGAGUAACGGAGGCGCCCCAAGGUUCCCUCAGAAUGGUUGGAAAUCAUUCGAAGAGUGCAAAGGCAGAAGGGAGCUUGACUGCGAGACCUACAAGUCGAGCAGGGACGAAAGUCGGGCUUAGUGAUCCGGUGGUACCGCAUGGAAGGGCCAUCGCUCAACGGAUAAAAGCUACCCUGGGGAUAACAGGCUUAUCUCCCCCAAGAGUCCACAUCGACGGGGAGGUUUGGCACCUCGAUGUCGGCUCAUCGCAUCCUGGGGCUGAAGUAGGUCCCAAGGGUUGGGCUGUUCGCCCAUUAAAGCGGUACGCGAGCUGGGUUCAGAACGUCGUGAGACAGUUCGGUCCCUAUCUGUCGUGGGCGCAGGAAAUUUGAGAGGAGCUGUCCUUAGUACGAGAGGACCGGGAUGGACGCACCUCUGGUGUACCAGUUGUUCCGCCAGGAGCAUAGCUGGGUAGCUACGUGCGGACGGGAUAAGCGCUGAAAGCAUCUAAGCGUGAAGCCCCCCUCAAGAUGAGAUUUCCCAAUUAGUAAGACCCCUUGAAGACUACGAGGUAGAUAGGUUGGAGGUGGAAGUGCAGUAAUGCACGGAGCUGACCAAUACUAAUCGGUCGAGGGCUUAUCCUAAA
This 2938-nucleotide ribosomal RNA is filed under the name Paenibacillus crassostreae. RNAcentral describes it as "bacterial LSU rRNA". It matches the Rfam family "Bacterial large subunit ribosomal RNA". Lineage: Bacteria; Bacillati; Bacillota; Bacilli; Caryophanales; Paenibacillaceae. The record is from RNAcentral.